GUUUUGUGGAACGGGAAGUUUUCUCCUUCCAAAACGUCAUGCAGCACGUCGUUCCAUGUUUCUUGAUCCUCAUACUCGUACAGGUGAUUUUUGCACAAGUUUUUUAUUUCAUUACCACAUUUUGCAAUUACUGAAGAACACAAGGUAAACGUUCCGCCACCCUUAACUCUUUUGUCCCCUCGUGUAGACGACAUUUCAUAGCAGACCACCUAAAUAUUCGUAUCGUUUCUUGACUUUUAAUAGAAUCCGAUGAAAAAUUAGAAACUUCCGGUCACCAUAAAAUGAUCAUCGGCACCGGAAACAACCCCGAAAAAUUUCCGGAAAUAAAAAAAAAAUGUUGCAAAAAAACGGAAUAAAAACUUUUGAGUCGGCGGGAUUUCUCUGAGUCGGUCGGGCGAGGGGAAACAAACCAUAUUUUUAUUUUGGCCCA
RNAcentral lists this long non-coding RNA (430 nucleotides) under Mytilus galloprovincialis (Mediterranean mussel). Lineage: Eukaryota; Metazoa; Mollusca; Bivalvia; Mytilida; Mytilidae. The record is from RNAcentral.